GGCACGGGUAACCAUUCAUUCAUCCAGCAUUGGAUUGACACAAUACUGAAAAGCAUGAUAACAAUUAGCAAUUAUUUGUACUCUCUCUAAAAUUAAUUGCAUGAUCAUUAUUUCCUUUCUCUUUUUUUUUAAUGCACGUUAAUGUUGGACACGGCGCUGGACAAAUGUGACAGGUAAACCUUGAGGAUGAUGCACAGCUAGACUUGUACGGGAUUAGAAAUGCCAUUGCUCAGCCGUCGACAGAUGAAUUGACCAACGGUGGGAAGUGACACGUACAGCUGCUGGCUGGCCCCCAAGAAGUUUAUAGCUCUGUUUAAUAAGGAUGAACUUCGCCGGAGAGAAUGGGUCUACCAGGUGAAAAAUAAGCUGCUCCUUAGCACAGUGCUGGGAACUUGAUUAAUGUUGCUCGAGCCACAAUGGACACCGACAACAAUUGAUCCAUGUGAUCAGUGUUAAUAUUAAUAAUGGAAUAAAGCCAAGAGGAACACACGUUUUUCCUCUUCUCGUUUUCACUUGAAGCGAAACGGUUUACAUUGUGAUGACUGCAAUCUAAUGGAUUUUGGGGGAACAUUUAAAUUGAAAUGUGCUAUUAUAAUUCCCUCAAAUGAAGAUGUUUUUUCCUUCAACAUAUUGCAUUUUUGCGGGAUAAUUAUAUUUAUGUUGGCAAUUAUAAAAAGGAGUGUCUCACUGGCUACAGUGUUGUGAAAGCCUCUGCACUUACAACCGUUUGCUACAAUUCAAAGGACCAAACAGCUAUUUGUAUUUUUUCCCCCGGUAGAGCAAAUUCUCUAUUUUUAUAGUGCCUCCGGAUGUGAUGAAUGCAGUGCUUAACUUAUGCAUCUACGGUCCAUUAUUCUGACUCUGGAAGUCAAAUACAGUACUGUGUAGUCUUCCUGAUAUUCCCCAUGGCUUCAGUGCUGAAGACGAAGGCACACUUUCUGAGGGUAAUCCGCUCAUACAUUUUCAUAACCGAGGUGCAGAAGGUAACCCUUGCGGAGUCAGCAGCACUCCCCGUGCAAUCUGAUACCUUGCAUCCGACAACGAGGGAAUUACGAAGCAAAGAGGGAAUUAUGAAGCCUUCCGUGGACUUCCUGAAUAACAAGUGAAGCGAUGUGCCAGCAACCCACUCGAUCUGGCAGCAUUUCGAGCAAUGUCUUUGAGCGCAUUAUUUGGGAGAAUGUCUUCACUCUCACCCCGGGCUGAAGGAAAAGAAGAAUGACUGCUGGUGGCUUGUCCGCUGUAACCACGGCGAUUUCUGGGUACUGGAGCGGGGCACGCUGCAGUCACGUCUCGGAUCAGGCUGCCUAUCGCUGAGCUGCAUUGGCUUCCGAUUGCCGAACCAAUACAUGAUAAGGUCACACUCAUUAUACACAAAGUGCUUGCCACAAAUGAACCACAAUACCUUGCUGAUCUCGUCAAGGGGCAUAAACCAUCACGCGAUCUCCGGUCAUCCUCGCAGCGGCUUUUGGCUAACCGUCGAACAAAGCCGGUGGUCACCGCAUCGCGAGCCGUUCAGAUGCUGCUCCUGCGGUCGUCUAAAACGCUCUUCUGAUAUUAGGAUGCCACUGGAGCGAUGCACUCUUAAAUCAUCUGGAUUGAAAGCUCCUUUUUUUAGAACUGGAUUUAAAGUUUCGUUUUUAGUCCUUCCCACGCAUCUCCGAUGUGAGGGCUGUACGUAGAAGUGUAUUGUAUUUACGUCGUUAAAAUGUUUAGUACCCGUAAGCUUUUGAAACUCUGGAAUGGUUUUGAUUUAUUUUUAAACCACACAAAUAAAAGCGCAACUGUUGUCAUUGACCUCUCGAAGACGUCGUUUUAAUUUUAAUAGCAUUUCAGAAAAUUUGAUUAAAUUGUAAAAUCGCGGCCACCGCUAACAUGAGUGGUACAUGAACCGGUCCUGAACCCUGCCUCUCACCCACCCCACCAGCUCAAACUUACCAGUGUGGUGAAGUAUGGUCAAAUAACUCCCACGACUGACAUGGCGUGGUGAUAUAGUCAUCCUGCAAUUGAUUGACAAAAUCUUUAUACCACAGAAUUGCUACUUGCAACAAAUUACGCUUUUGUUUCAUUUGAAAAAAAACUUUUUCGAAAAAUAUCUACAAGGAUAUUAGUGAAGGUUCAAUAUACAGCCUUCCCAUUUUAAAUAAAUACAAAUAUUGCUGCUGGAAUAAAACUGAACGGGUUUUUCUUUUUUUAUCAGUGGCAUAUUGCUAAAGUGACCUAGCACUGUGCCUUACAAAUUAAAUUAUGGCAUUAAGCCACUUGCAUUAAAUUUUGGAAGCAAUUAUUAUAAAAUAGAUUAAUGAAAACUCAAUCAAGUCCAAAUAAAUGUUUUAUAGAGCUACAAAGCAAUUUCAAGGGGUGUGGGGUUUUCUUUGUUCUAAAACUAUGAUUUCAUAUGUAAAACUGCCAUUCGUUCAACACCACUGAAUUCCCAUUAUAAAAAAAAACACUUAUUUAAUUCCAAGUGAUUAAUUGCAGGUGUCCUAGAGAAGGCCCGUGACAGCGUGAAAGCUGCCAAAUGCAGCCCUCCUCAUUAUUUUAUAAUUAUUUUGCUCAACAGCGAUUCAUCUAUUCGGUAGCCAUCUCGCCAGUCUGUUGCGGCAGGUGGCCUGCCAAUCUGGAUGCGCAGAUGCUUAAAUAUUGUUCCCUGUUUCCCUAAUGCGUCUCUUGUCUGCUGCAGACGCACCACUCGUGUGGAACAGACGCAUCCCGGAGAAUGGCUUUGCCUCUAAAUUUGCUGAAAGUUUUACAUUGGAACUAGAUCAACGAUAUUAUUUACAAUAUUAAAUAUAUUGCAACUUCAAUCCACAUGUGUACUGAAUUUGUUUACUUUUACUCCUGCUGUUUAAAUGCUGCCAAUUUGACUUUGACAUUGAUGUCUGCAAAUAUUGACACUUUAUAAUUGUACUGGGAAUACAAGGUAUUGGGCAAAAUGUAUGUAUUUUUAUUUAUUUAUUAUACCGUGAAUAAUAAAAUAUGUAUAUCUGUUCUGCAAGAAACCGGGGCAUUUUUUUAUUGAAUUUGAUAUAUAUGUUGUGCAUUUAAUUCCAAAUAACAUAUGAUGAUAUCAAAAUGUGUGGAGGCCUUAAUUCAACAGUACAUUGACCAUGGCUGAUGAUGGUCAUUAUGACAAUUGCUAUUUAAAACGAGAAAAAUGGCUUAAAAUAUUUGUUAAAAAACCAAACAAAAUAUAUAAGAUGUUAUCAUGUUUAAUUAAACUUGUAUCAUUAUGAUCACAACACAGCAAUAUAGCGGCGCGUGAUUAUUUUAAUCAAUGGAAAUGCAGAUGCGGUGCUGGCCCCUAUGUAAAUGAGUUGUAACAAUGACUCAUAAGAUGAAUGUUCCAUAUUCGUCAUUGACAACGAUGCACUGAGUAAAUCUAGUUCCUCAACCUUAGGGGGAGGGUUGGAGCUCUCUUCUUACGAGUGGCUGAUCAAGUGCACAUUCGUGUGUGUGUGUGAUUAACACUUGCCAACCCCCGUGACCCAGGCCUCAUCAAGAUCACUCAGUGGUUUUACCAUAUUAAAGAGUCGGAAAAUGCAAACCAUAUCAACCGAGCCUUAAGUGAAUUAAUUCGGCCUUAACAAAAAAAAUGCGCGUUGAAAGGCGAACACAUGAAUGGAGUGUUUCCCACACUGAAAUAGUGGUUUAAAUAGACUGUGUUUAAACAAACAGUUGUUCUGGAUUUCACGGUUGGCUACGUGCAGUGCGAAAGAAGUUCAGCAUAUAUGCAUGCAUGCGGUGGCACGCACCCGUGACAUAGCACUUUGGAGGUAAGGGUUUGUGCAUCACACAAUGCCGUUAUGGAACUCUCAGACCCACAAUGCUGCGAGGUGGAUGGCGUAUUGCCUUACAUUUGUGUGUGGAGCUUUGAGUUGUAUAGUUUCACAAGCAUCGGUUUUCUCAAUGUUUUUCAAGUUUCAUUCCCAAAUUGAGCCGACAACUCAUCGAUGGAAUC
Petromyzon marinus (sea lamprey) is the source of this 3958-nucleotide long non-coding RNA. RefSeq lists it as uncharacterized. The record is from RefSeq and is a predicted model, not a curated record. Lineage: Eukaryota; Metazoa; Chordata; Hyperoartia; Petromyzontiformes; Petromyzontidae.